Non-coding RNA from Ciona savignyi (Pacific transparent sea squirt), 1458 nucleotides. The record is from Rfam. NCBI's taxonomy places the organism in Eukaryota, Metazoa, Chordata, Ascidiacea, Phlebobranchia, Cionidae.
UACCUGGUUGAUCCUGCCAGUAGUCAUAUGCUUGUCUCAAAGAUUAAGCCAUGCAAGUCUAAGUACGAGCUCUCGUACAGUGAAACUGCGAAUGGCUCAUUAAAUCAGUUAUGGUUCAUUUGAUCGUACAGUUUACUUGGAUAACUGUGGUAAUUCUAGAGCUAAUACAUGCGAGAAGCGCCGACCUCGCGGGAGGCGUGCAUUUAUCAGACCAAAAACCGGCCGCGUCUUCGGGCGCGUUCGCCUUGGUGACUCUGGAUAACUUUGCGGAUCGCACGGUCUAGCACCGGCGACGGAUCAUUCAAGUGUCUGCCCUAUCAACUUUCGUCGGUACGGUAUUUGCCUACCGAGGUUCUUACGGGUGACGGGGAAUCAGGGUUCGAUUCCGGAGAGGGAGCCUGAGAAACGGCUACCACAUCCAAGGAAGGCAGCAGGCGCGCAAAUUACCCAUUCCCGACGCGGGGGAGGGGUAGUGACGAAAAAUAACAAUGCAGGACUCGUUCGAGGCCCUGUAAUUGGAAUGAGUACACUUUAAAAGCUUUAACGAGUAUCCAUUGGAGGGGCAAGUCUGGUGCCAGCAGCCGCGGUAAUUCCAGCUCCAAAAGUAUAUAUUUAAAGUUGGUUGCGGUUAAAAAGCUCGUAGUUGGAUUUUGGGCGCAGGCGGCCGGUCCGUCGCAAGGCGUGUACUGGACGUCCUGGCCUUCCCUCCGGUUCUCCGCCGGUGCUCUUGACUGAGUGUCGGCGGCGGCCGGAACGUUUACUUUGAAAAAAUUAGAGUGUUCAAAGCAGGCUCUCGAGCCUGGAUAAUGGUGCAUGGAAUAAUGGAAUAGGACCUCGGUUCUAUUUUGUUGGUUUUCGGAGCGCGAGGUAAUGAUUAAGAGGGACAGACGGGGGCAUUCGUACUGUGCCGUUAGAGGUGAAAUUCUUGGAUCGGCGCAAGACGAACGACUGCGAAAGCAUUUGCCAAGAAUGUUUUCUUUAAUCAAGAGCGAAAGUCAGAGGUUCGAAGACGAUCAGAUACCGUCCUAGUUCUGACUAUAAACGAUGCCAACUAGCGAUCGGAGGGGCGUUACAUUGACGACCCCUCCGGCAGCUUACGGGAAACCAAAGUCUUUGGGUUCCGGGGGAAGUAUGGUUGCAAAGCUGAAACUUAAAGGAAUUGACGGAAGGGCACCACCAGGAGUGGAGCCUGCGGCUUAAUUUGACUCAACACGGGAAAUCUCACCCGGCCCGGACACAGUGAGGAUUGACAGAUUGAGAGCUCUUUCUUGAUUCUGUGGGGUGGUGGUGCAUGGCCGUUCUUAGUUGGUGGAGCGAUUUGUCUGGUUAAUUCCGAUAACGAACGAGACUCUGGCUUGCUAAAUAGUUACGCGACCAUCCCGGUCGGCGUUUAACUUCUUAGAGGGACAAGUGGCGUUUAGCCACACGAGAUUGAGCAAUAACAGGUCUGUGAUGCCC